Molecule: ribosomal RNA, 472 nt
Filed under: uncultured bacterium
Lineage: Bacteria
Description: partial 16S ribosomal RNA
Rfam family: Bacterial small subunit ribosomal RNA
Source: RNAcentral
GACGAACGCUGGCGGCGUGCUUAACACAUGCAAGUCGAACGCUGAAGCUUGGUGCUUGCACUGGGUGGAUGAGUGGCGAACGGGUGAGUAAUACGUGAGUAACCUGCCCUUGACUCUGGGAUAAGCCUGGGAAACUGGGUCUAAUACUGGAUACGACAUGUCACCGCACGGUGGUGUGUGGAAAGGGUUUUACUGGUUUUGGAUGGGCUCACGGCCUAUCAGCUUGUUGGUGGGGUAAUGGCUCACCAAGGCGACGACGGGUAGCCGGCCUGAGAGGGUGACCGGCCACACUGGGACUGAGACACGGCCCAGACUCCUACGGGAGGCAGCAGUGGGGAAUAUUGCACAAUGGUCGGAAGCCUGAUGCAGCGACGCCGCGUGAGGGAUGACGGCCUUCGGGUUGUAAACCUCUUUCAGCACGGAAGAAGCGAAAGUGACGGUACGUGCAGAAGAAGCGCCGGCUAACUACGUG